CCUACGGGAGGCAGCAGUGAGGAAUAUUGGUCAAUGGACGCAAGUCUGAACCAGCCAUGCCGCGUGCAGGAAGACGGCUCUAUGAGUUGUAAACUGCUUUUGUACGAGGGUAAAUCCCGAUACGUGUAUCGGGUUGAAAGUAUCGUACGAAUAAGGAUCGGCUAACUCCGUGCCAGCAGCCGCGGUAAUACGGAGGAUUCAAGCGUUAUCCGGAUUUAUUGGGUUUAAAGGGUGCGUAGGCGGUUCGAUAAGUUAGAGGUGAAAGCCCCGGGCUCAACUCCGGCACUGCCUCUGAUACUGUCGGGCUAGAGUUUAGUUGCGGUAGGCGGAAUGUAUGGUGUAGCGGUGAAAUGCAUAGAGAUCAGACAGAACACCGAUUGCGAAGGCAGCUUACCAAACUACGACUGACGUUGAGGCACGAAAGCGUGGGGAGCAAACAGGAUUAGAUACCCCGGUAGUC
RNAcentral lists this ribosomal RNA (460 nucleotides) under uncultured bacterium. RNAcentral describes it as "partial 16S ribosomal RNA". It matches the Rfam family "Bacterial small subunit ribosomal RNA", at positions 338 to 795 of the family's 1533-position model. The record is from RNAcentral.